RNAcentral lists this ribosomal RNA (468 nucleotides) under uncultured bacterium. RNAcentral's name for it is "partial 16S ribosomal RNA". It matches the Rfam family "Bacterial small subunit ribosomal RNA", at positions 28 to 507 of the family's 1533-position model. The record is from RNAcentral.
GACGAACGCUGGCGGCGUGCUUAACACAUGCAAGUCGAACGGAAAGGCCCUGCUUUUGUGGGGUGCUCGAGUGGCGAACGGGUGAGUAACACGUGAGUAACCUGCCCUUGACUUUGGGAUAACUUCAGGAAACUGGGGCUAAUACCGUAUCGGAGCUCCUGCUGCAUGGUGGGGGUUGGAAAGUUUCGGCGGGUGGGGUUGGAUUCGCGGCUUAUCAGCUUGUUGGUGGGGUAGUGGCUUACCAAGGCUUUGACGGGUAGCCGGCCUGGGAGGGUGGCCGGGGACAUUGGGACUAAGAGACGGACCAGAGGCCUACGGGAGGCAGCAGUGGGGAAUAUUGCACAGUGGGAGGAAGCCGGAGGAAGAAACGCCGCGUGCGGGAUGACGGCCUUCGGGUUGUAAACCGCUUUAGCCUGUGACGAAGCGUGAGUGACGGUAAUGGGUAAAGAAGCACCGGCUAACUACGUG